RNAcentral lists this ribosomal RNA (624 nucleotides) under uncultured bacterium. RNAcentral's name for it is "bacterial SSU rRNA". It matches the Rfam family "Bacterial small subunit ribosomal RNA", at positions 124 to 746 of the family's 1533-position model. The record is from RNAcentral.
ACCUUCCGUACACUCAGGGAUAGCCUUUCGAAAGAAAGAUUAAUACCUGAUGGUAUGAUGAGAUUGCAUGAUAGCAUCAUUAAAGAUUUAUCGGUGUACGAUGGGGAUGCGUUCCAUUAGGUAGUAGGCGGGGUAACGGCCCACCUAGCCAACGAUGGAUAGGGGUUCUGAGAGGAAGGUCCCCCACAUUGGAACUGAGACACGGUCCAAACUCCUACGGGAGGCAGCAGUGAGGAAUAUUGGUCAAUGGACGAGAGUCUGAACCAGCCAAGUAGCGUGAAGGAUGAAGGUCCUACGGAUUGUAAACUUCUUUUAUAAGGGAAUAAACCCUCCCACGUGUGGGAGCUUGUAUGUACCUUAUGAAUAAGCAUCGGCUAACUCCGUGCCAGCAGCCGCGGUAAUACGGAGGAUGCGAGCGUUAUCCGGAUUUAUUGGGUUUAAAGGGAGCGCAGACGGGUCGUUAAGUCAGCUGUGAAAGUUUGGGGCUCAACCUUAAAAUUGCAGUUGAUACUGGCGUCCUUGAGUGCGGUUGAGGUGUGCGGAAUUCGUGGUGUAGCGGUGAAAUGCUUAGAUAUCACGAAGAACUCCGAUUGCGAAGGUAGCACACUAAUCCGUAACUGACGU